This is a long non-coding RNA of Carcharodon carcharias (great white shark), 1132 nucleotides long. RefSeq lists it as uncharacterized. The transcript has 6 exons. The record is from RefSeq and is a predicted model, not a curated record. NCBI's taxonomy places the organism in Eukaryota, Metazoa, Chordata, Chondrichthyes, Lamniformes, Lamnidae.
AUUACACUCUCCUUGGUUUCUCGUGUUGCUAAAGGUUUGGAACUGAACUCGAUAGGCCAUCCUUCUAUUUAUUAUACACGAACAAAAAAAAAACACCUUUGUGCGCAGAAAAUUUCCUUGAAGCAUUUAUUAUUUUCUUUAAAGAAAAGCGGGCAGGAUGCCUGAGGCUGAGGAGGUUGUUCUUAUUCCUGAUUCACAAUGUAAGAAUCGUACAGCGAUAGGCAAAUGAGCCAGUUCAUGGGGCCUCAAUUCAGCGGGACAAAACAAAAAAAAAACUUUGAGCACUUCUGCCGGCUUCCAAACAGCAGUUGCUGGAUCGCCUGAACACAUUGACCCAAGAUGGUGGGGGUAGCAGAUGAUGAAAAUAAAGAUUAAGAACUGUUGGCUGCUGAACGAUUGCUGGCUGUAGCUUUGCUUACUGUCUCUCAAGGCAACAGGCUGCUGGAAUUGAAGGGCUUUCUGAGAAGAUGUGUGUGAAGGCAAGAGGGAAAUGAAAGUUUCCACUCGAGGGACCAUGACCACAAGUUAGAAGAUAAAGCUACAUCUACAGAAUCCAUACCUUGAUCACAGAUGCUGCAAUUGGACAUUGGAGUAAAGAAUGCUUUCCACGUCUUCACACACUCUCGUAAAAAGGAGGUAAUGGCAGCGGUAAUGAACCACCAAUUAAAAAGGGGCCUUAAGACUGAGUUUUUUUUUCGUGAAAUUUAAUUUAUUUUUUAAACAGAAUUUUCUUUUCAUUUUGCAACACUGCCGUGCUGAUUUUCCAGCGUCGCCAUGGUUACUGGCCUCCGGUAAGAGUACCACAGCUGCUCAGUCGUCCGAAAAGUCCGGAUGAAAAUUGGCUUGUCAGUCAGCGAGUGACUCGACAUGGGUGUUGCAGUUUCAUGUGACAACCUGGAGUAUGUUCCUUGGCCUUGUCCUGUUACGGGCCGAUGGGUGUUCUGUACACCUCAUGCCUCCAUCCUGCAGUCCCAUCCGAAAGAACGCAAAAGCAUCUCAGUUGAAAAAAAUAAUGAAUUAAUAAUAUCCAGGUCUCCCAAAUAUUUUCAAAUAGAAAGAAAGGCCAUGCAUUCGUAUAGAAUUCUCAGGACAUCCCCAGGUGCUUUUACAGCCAGUGCUGUGCUUUUGAAAU